This 490-nucleotide ribosomal RNA is filed under the name uncultured bacterium. RNAcentral's name for it is "partial 16S ribosomal RNA". It matches the Rfam family "Bacterial small subunit ribosomal RNA", at positions 30 to 507 of the family's 1533-position model. The record is from RNAcentral.
AUUGAACGCUGGCGGCAGGCCUAACACAUGCAAGUCGAACGGUAACAGGAAGCAGCUUGCUGCUUUGCUGACGAGUGGCGGACGGGUGAGUAAUGUCUGGGAAACUGCCUGAUGGAGGGGGAUAACUACUGGAAACGGUAGCUAAUACCGCAUAACGUCGCAAGACCAAAGAAGGGGACCUUCGGGCCUCUUGCCAUCGGAUGUGCCCAGAUGGGAUUAGCUAGUAGGUGGGGUAACGGCUCACCUAGGCGACGAUCCCUAGCUGGUCUGAGAGGAUGACCAGCCACACUGGAACUGAGACACGGUCCAGACUCCUACGGGAGGCAGCAGUGGGGAAUAUUGCACAAUGGGCGCAAGCCUGAUGCAGCCAUGCCGCGUGUAUGAAGAAGGCCUUCGGGUUGUAAAGUACUUUCAGCGGGGAGGAAGGGAGUAAAGUUAAUACCUUUGCUCAUUGACGUUACCCGCAGAAGAAGCACCGGCUAACUCCGUG